Long non-coding RNA from Orcinus orca (killer whale), 4391 nucleotides. RefSeq lists it as uncharacterized. The transcript is spliced from 3 exons. NCBI's taxonomy places the organism in Eukaryota, Metazoa, Chordata, Mammalia, Artiodactyla, Delphinidae. The record is from RefSeq and is a predicted model, not a curated record.
UAUUGGACGAAGUGGGUGCCACUCACAGCCGCUCCUUUUCACUGGUUGGCUGUACGUGUCUCCAGGCGCGCAAGCUCCAAGUAGGAAAGGGGGCGGAACCGAGCUCCGCCGGCUCCCACAGCCUCCUGCCCCUCUGCGGACGCCGCGGGUUCCAACCCUGCAGAAGGAGCGGGGCGGAGCGGGCUCCGCUGGUUCCCACACGCACAGCUUCCCCCUUCCCUGUUUUAAUCUUCUUAGUGCUUAAAGUAGCAAGAGUGGUUUCUUUUUCCUGCAGAUGGACCCUCCUUUAUACAGGUAGGGAGAGAAGAGGACGCCCAGGAUAGCGUCCAGAGGAACGCCAGCACUUACUAUGGGCAGGGAGGAGGAUCCAGAAGAGAGAUCGGAGAAGGAGCAUCAAAGAGGAGGGGGAAACCCAGGGAAGUUUCAAGCACACCAUGGUUAACAACGUCAUUCUCGACUGCUGCCAGGAAGCAGGAUCUUUGCAGAUGUGAUCAAAAUAAGGUCAUGCUGGAUUAGGGUGGGCCCUUGUAAGAAGAGAGAAAUUUAGACACAGACACACAGGGAAGAAGGCCAAUUGAUGAUGGAGACAGAGUUUUGCAGCUGCCAACUGAGGAACUCCUGGAGCCACCAGAAGCUGGAAGAGGCAAGGAAAGAUUCUUCCCUAGAGCUUUCAGAGGGAGCACAGCCCUGUUGACUUUGGACUUCUAGCUUCCAGAACUGGGAGAGAAUAAAUUUCCGUUGGUUUAAGCCUACCAGUUUGUGGUAAUCUGUUAUGGCAGCCCUGGGAAACUAACACGCUAUAUGUUUGAUAUUUUUCAUAAUAAAACAUAUAGGGAAGGACUUCCCUGGUGGUGCAGUGGUUAAGAAUCUGUCUGCCAAUGUAGGGGACAUGGGUUCGUGCCUGGUCCGGGAAGAUCCUACAUGCUGCUGAACAACUAAGCCCGUGCGCCACAACUACUGAGCCUGCGCUCUAGAGCCCACAAGCCACAACUACCGAGCCCACGUGCUACAGUUACUGAAGCCCACACACCUAGAGCCCGUGUUCCGCAACAAGAGAAGCCACUGCAAUGAGAAGCCCGCGCACCACAACGAAGAGUAGCCCCCGCUCGCCACAACUAGAGAAAGCCCACGCGUAGCAACAAAGACCCAACGCAGCCAAAGAUAAAUAAAUAAAUAAAUUUAUUUAAAUAUAUAUAUAGAGAGAGAGAGAGAGAGGAAAGUUUGAUCAGGCCCAUUGCUGGCAAGGAUGUCAGGAAAUAGAGUCUCACCUACACAGUGGUGAGAGUAUCGAUUGGUAGAACUUUUUGGGAGGCUAAUUUGGCAGCGUCUAACAAACUAAAACGUGUCUGACCUUUAACCAAGCAGUUUCCCUCUUAGGAUCCAUUCAACAGAAGUACUCAUCCAAGCACAAGAUGCACAUACAAAGAGAUCCACUGCAGCGCCGUUUGUAGUUGCAAAGAUGUGGGCACUUGUGACUAGACACUGGGACACUGUGCCCCGCCACUGCUGCUGCCGCCCCUGCCCCUCAAACACCAUCUCCCUGGCAGGAUUCAAUCUGCGUGCACACGAGAAGGGGGACGAUGCUGGGAGCCGCUGCACCGUGUACACAAUGACUCCCACCCAGCCCCAUGGAGCUGACAGACCAUCGGUCACCUGCACUUGUCUGAGAAACUGCUUAUGAGAUUGUAGUCAUGGUUGUCACACAUGUGGCUCUGACUAAGACAGUGGCAGUUGAGCUGAAGACAGGAGGUGGGCUUGGCAUGGUCAGGGAGGACAGUGGCUGAAGGUGGCUCUUGGAUGUCUCUGAGUUGGGGACUGGGAGAUGAGAUCAGUUGGGGACAGUUAAGUCUGGGUUGUUUGUGGGGCCCCCAACUGGCCAUGUCCGGGCCAGCUGAGGGGAGAGGUUUGUGCUGGAGCCUUCUGUGCCCCCAAAACCCUGGGAGAGGUUGGAAGUUCUAGUGCCACGAUCUGAUUUGUAUUUGAAAAGGCGGAUCUGGCUGUGGGAGCAGAGCGGAUGAUAGGGAUGGGAGUGCCAGCAGAAGCCAGGAGGAGGCUGUUGCCAUCAUCUGGGAGAAAGAUGAUGGGGGCCUGGCCAGGGUAAUGGAGGGGCAGAGAGGGAAGGCAAAAGAGACUGCAGAGGUCACUGCCUCAGUGUUGGUGCAGGACCGAGGUUCGACCAGGUGGCAUGAUGGUGGGGCAAGGGCCCCAGGAGCAUCUGAAGUGAGAGGUCGAAGCCAGGGCAGCCAGCGGGGGGGUGGGGAAACCAGAGCCCCUCAUGCUCAAGCCCUCCCCUGGCCUUGCUCUUGCUGUCACUCGCUGCCCUGGGGGUCAGUUGCAUCCCCUCGGUCUGUCAUUCCGUCACUCACCAAAGUCCUAGAAAUCUUUCUCGGCCCAGCACCUGGGGGGGGAAACAAAAUGAGGACCCCCAAUUGGGGCAUCACGGUAAAGUCAAAGUCCUCCAGGCCCAGGACAGACCCGGCAAGGGACACGUUUUGAGAGGAAAGUUCUAUAAUGAUGCCACAGGAGUGAAAGCUGUCGAGGGAAGGGACAGAGGCCCCAGGGAUCAGAACAGUGACACAGGGUGACAAGAGGAGCCGAUGGGACUUCUGUGGUGGUCCAGUAGCUAAGGCUCUGCGCUCCCAAUGCAGGGGGCCCAGGUUCGACCCCGGUCAGGGAACUCGAUCCCACAGGCCACUACUAAAGAUCCCGCAUGCUGCAACUAAAGAUCCCACAUGCUGCAACUAAGACCCGAUGCAGCCAAAUAAAUAAAUAAAUAUUAAAAAAAAAACAAACGAGGAGCCAAUGGCCAUGGGCAGACUUAGGAACACAAAGGGCACCAUUUAAAUAAAGUUUCAAGGCAAAGACUUUCUCAAAAGUGUGACCUUGCUGGCCAGCAGUCUCUUGCUCACCAUCCUUAAGGGAGAAAGUCCCGUGGCUACUUUUCUUCUUCCCUCAGUUCCCGGAGGUCCCUGGAGUGGUGACCUCGAGGCUUCCUGAAGCGGUUGCUAUGGGCCAGGCACUGAGUCAGACUCGGACCCUGCCCCUCAAGUUCACAAUCUGAUCCGGAGGAGAUGCAGAAUAGUUGACCACUUCAGUAUGUCCCCCUAAACAGUCUAGUGCUCAGUCUGCUCGUCCUUGAGCUUGACGAAAUGGCAUCAUCCUGCGCGGGGGACGCGGGUAGCAUCGUGCCAUCCUUGCUAGUCUGGUGGUAAGCCUUCCGCGACCCUGGUUUCACUCUUUCCUUGGUAGGUGCCGGUGCUCCCUACCGUCCCUGUUUGCCGGGAGGCUUUUCAUGACCUACGAACGCAAGAUGUCUCAGGGGCCGCGGCAGACGGCAUCGUCGUUCACAGUGAUUCAGUCUCCCCCUUCCCUUAGGAGCACCCCUCCUUGCCCAUUUCCAGGCAGGAGACACACUGGAAGAGACAGGUUCCAGGGCACCCCACCGUAGCUGGGAUCCGGGGAUCAGGAGACCACCAGGGUCCCUGUGGGAGUGUUACAACACCCGCACAGCAAGUGACUAGGCACUGGAACGUUGCUGCUGAAACACUGAACUCCAUGCUGUGCUGGGCGUGAGACAGGUGAAGGGGCGGGAAGGGCGCCAUCGCCUCACCCCUGCAUCCCACAUCAUCUCGAGUGUGUCCCCAGGCAAGGUGGAGUCCACACCCUGAGCCUGCUCACCCAGACCACCUCUCAGCCCUCCCAGGCUUGCCUUCCCCACACACUCCUUGCCCCCCACCCCUACACUGGCCCAAAAAAGAAAAGUUGCAAAAUCCAGGUGUACAGCGCAAUGACUUAGCAAAGCAAACAAAAACACUCCCUUGGCAUCACCAAAGUCAAGAACUCAAAUGUCUACCUCCCCAAACCCCCUCAUCCCCCUCCCAUCACUUCCUUCUCCCUUCCACCGAAGUGACCACAAACCUGAUUGUUGUGAUAAUCUCUUUGGUUUUUAUAAUUUUACCAAUUGUGUCAGUCCGUCCAGGAUGCUAUGACAAAGUACCACAGACUGUGGCGUUUACAAACAGCAGAAAUUUAUUGCUCACAGUUCCCGAGGCUGGAAGUCAGAAAUUAGGGUACCAUCAGGGUAGGGGAAGGCCCUCUUCCGGGUUGCAGACUUCUCAUUGUAUCCUCACUGGUGGAAGGGGUGAGGGAACUCUCUGGAGCUUCUUUUAUAAGGGCACUAAUCCCAUCAUGAGGACCUCACCCCCAUGACCUCAUGACCUAAGCACCUCCCACAGGCCCCACCUACUAAUACCAUUAGGGGAUUAGGUUUCAGUGAAUUGGGUGGGGGGACACAAACAUCCAGGCCAUCACACGAGAUAAGCAGGCAUCCCUCAAUAUGAUGAUUUUGUUUUGUCUGUUUUCGGACUUUAUAUAAAUGGAAUUAAUCAGUA